Non-coding RNA from Oncorhynchus mykiss (rainbow trout), 462 nucleotides. The record is from RefSeq and is a predicted model, not a curated record. NCBI's taxonomy places the organism in Eukaryota, Metazoa, Chordata, Actinopteri, Salmoniformes, Salmonidae.
CAGAGUAAAGGGAGCGGGGUCUGAAUAUAGACAGGCUAGCCAGAGGUCUCCACAGUGAGUAUAGUGAAUGAGGUCUGAAUAUAGACAGAGGUCUCCACAGUGAGUAUAGUGAAUGAGGUCUGAAUAUAGACAGAGGUCUCCACAGUGAGUAUAGUGAAUGAGGUCUGAAUAUAGACAGAGGUCUCCACAGUGAGUAUAGUGAAUGAGGUCUGAAUAUAGACAGAGGUCUCCACAGUGAGUAUAGUGAAUGAGGUCUGAAUAUAGACAGAGAGGAGGAGGACUGAGGUCUCCACAGUGAGUAUAGUGAAUGAGGUCUGAAUAUAGACAGAGAGGAGGAGGACUGAGGUCUCCACAGUGAGUAUAGUGAAUGAGGUCUGAAUAUAGACAGAGAGGAGGAGGACUGAGGUCUCCACAGUGAGUAUAGUGAAUGAGGUCUGAAUAUAGGCAGAGAGGAGGAGGACU